This 305-nucleotide ribosomal RNA is filed under the name uncultured bacterium. RNAcentral's name for it is "bacterial SSU rRNA". It matches the Rfam family "Bacterial small subunit ribosomal RNA", at positions 338 to 635 of the family's 1533-position model. The record is from RNAcentral.
CCUACGGGGGGCAGCAGUAGGGAAUCUUCGGCAAUGGGGGCAACCCUGACCGAGCAACGCCGCGUGAGUGAAGAAGGUUUUCGGAUCGUAAAGCUCUGUUGUAAGUCAAGAACGGGUGUGAGAGUGGAAAGUUCACACUGUGACGGUAGCUUACCAGAAAGGGACGGCUAACUACGUGCCAGCAGCCGCGGUAAUACGUAGGUCCCGAGCGUUGUCCGGAUUUAUUGGGCGUAAAGCGAGCGCAGGCGGUUUGAUAAGUCUGAAGUUAAAGGCUGUGGCUCAACCAUAGUUCGCUUUGGAAACUG